Long non-coding RNA from Gossypium raimondii (Peruvian cotton), 776 nucleotides. RefSeq lists it as uncharacterized. NCBI's taxonomy places the organism in Eukaryota, Viridiplantae, Streptophyta, Magnoliopsida, Malvales, Malvaceae. The record is from RefSeq and is a predicted model, not a curated record. The transcript has 2 exons.
UCUUCGGGUCAAACGACAAACGACGUCGUCGCCAUUGAUGCUAAAGCCCAAAACGGUGUCGUUUUGUAUCUAAUAUAAAUAACAAAAGAAAAAAGAAAAAGAAAACAGUUUUUACUUCAUUUUUCAGAAAAAAAGAAAAAAGAACAGAGAGCUCAGCCUCUCUCUCUCUCGCAGGCUUCAAGCUCGGGCCAAAGGGUCGCCGCCGUGACUCUGCCGUAAGCGGUGGUCCGAGCUGCACGGAGAACGCAUUUUCGGCCCGUUUUUAAAACGCCUGAAGGCCUAAGCCUCUGGGUUUUGAGGCCGAAAGAAGGAGAAACCCCCAUGCCCCUCUCACGUCCCGAUUUCGACGACCGAAAUGGCCGGCGAAGGGCCCUUCAGGCGACCCCAGGUGUUGGAGCAGGUGGGCAGAGACGCGGCACUAGUCAGAGGCUAGGGUGCGGCGACGGUGGCAGAAGGUCAAGGGUCGGAAGACCCUAGGUGCGGCGCACCUAGGGUUAGGUUUAGUUGUUUGUUUCUGCUGAUAGUAGGCUUGUUGGGCCAAAUUGGGCUAGGUCAAAAUACGUCAGUAUUUGGGCUUGGCAAUUGCAAUUGGGUUCUGGGUUUUGGGCAGUGUUGGGCUUGUUUUUGAUUUGGAUCGUAUCAGGCCCGUUGUAACCUGGACUUAUGGACUGUUUUUUUAUCUCUGGUAUGGUUUGGUUCAUUUGGUGCGGGCCCGGGCAAAAAUGGCCUAUUACAAAUAUUAUUGAUUCAAUAAUUAUAAUUAUUUUUAAAUUUUA